Vigna umbellata (rice bean) is the source of this 2006-nucleotide non-coding RNA. The record is from RefSeq and is a predicted model, not a curated record. Lineage: Eukaryota; Viridiplantae; Streptophyta; Magnoliopsida; Fabales; Fabaceae.
AUCAGAUUGUUAAAACCCGCAGCGGGCUGCUACCGCCGUACCUGUUAGGGUUUUGUUAAAAGAACUCCAAAGGCGUUGCGACGGUGAACGCAGCAGCAACUAGGGUUUGUGUUUGGGAAUGGAGGAGGAGCAGGCGUCCCAGGUGGGUCGGUCUCUGAUCAAGCAGCUGGCGUGCUGUAAGAAAACCACCAGAGAGAAAACUCUUCGCCUCCUCCUCAAAUCGUGGCUUCCUUCGCAGUCACAACCGCUCUCAAACGACGACGCCAAGAAGCUCUGGAAGGGUCUUUUCUACUGCAUGUGGCACUCCGACAAGCCCCUCGUCCAAGCCGACCUUGUCGAUCGCUUAUCAUCUCUUCUCCUGUCCCUCCACCUCCCUCUCGCCGUCCAGUACUUUUCCAUCUUCCUUCUCACCAUGCGCCGCGAGUGGUCCGGAAUCGAUGCCCUUCGACUCGACAAGUUCUACCUUCUCAUCCGCAGGUUCGUCUCCAAGUUCUUCUCUCUACUGAAAACCAAUUCCUGGGAUCUCCAACUUGUGGAGAGCUUAAUGGGUGUUUUCGACGAGGGGACUUUCUCCGCUCAGGAGAAUAAGGCCCACGGCAACGGUGUUAAUUACCACAUUGCCACUGUUUUUCUUGAGGAGCUUCGCUCUUUUCUACCACUUAAGCAGCAGGUUCUGGAAGUGUUGUUGAAGCCGUUUAUUUCCGCUUUGGGGAGGGUCCACGAUAAGGUGUUGGUAGGGAAGAUUAGGUCUGGCGUGUUUGGUUUGUUGCUUAAGAAUGGGAAAGCGUUGUUGGGGGUUAAGAAGAGUGGGGACGAGAUUGCUGAUUCUAGUGACGAGGUUGUCGUUCUUGGAACUGUUGCCUUGACUAUGGGGUUUUCCGGGAGGUUAUAUGAAAUGGGUUCUUCUGCUGAGUGCUGGCAGGGAAAUAGGAAGGUGCUGUUUGCGCUGCAUUCUGAGUUUUUGAAGUUGGAGAAGGAGGCUGUGAAUUCGGGGGUUCAGAUCCUGAUUCCUGAUGUUGUUGAUGAAGAGGAAGUGCCGGAAUUGGUUCCAUUAGGGCCCGCAGAGGUUGUUGGUAAUGGUGAAGUGUUGAAGAAGUGUGAGAAGGUUAAGGAGGUGAAUGUUAAUGGGGGCGAGAGUACGGAGAGGAGGAGGAGGAAGAAGAAGAAGGGUGAUACGUCUGAUCUCGCUGGUGCUGCGCAGAGUGGCAAGGAGAAUGUGGCUAGUGAGAAUGGUGAUAAUGCUAAUGAUGGAAACGCGAUGAUGUUCAGUGAGACUGUGAUUGCUAACCUGCAAAAGCAGUUUGAGAAAGUGGCUGAGGAGACGGGUUUGGAUGAAGAAGCAGCAAGUGUGUCUGAAUCGCCUGAGGUUGUGUCUGCUACCUCCAAAACUGUGUCUAAGAAGAGGAAGAGGACAAAGAGUUUGAAAGGGAAGGCCUCCCAAGAUUCAGCUGAUUUGAAUGGCGUUGUUGGUAAAGAGAGUGCCGUGGCAAAGAGUGGAGAAAAGAGUGCAAAGAAGGUAAGAUUUUCAAUGAAAAAUAACUUGGUGUGGAAACCACACAGUCCUUUACCUCCUCAGAGUUUGAGGUUGCCUCCCUCUGCGACACCCAGAGGAAGUGCACUCAAAAAGGGUGUGCCUCCGGGUCCCAUCAGGGAGAUGCCACCUCCUAUGAAAAAGCAAAAAAUGAAGAAGGCCAGGAAGGCAAUUAAAGGCAAGUCUAUAGGUUCUUUGACAUUGGCGGUGCACUGGUAACAUGAUGACAAUCAACCCGUUCACACCUCGCGUGAUGUGUUAAGAAAACAAGGGAGGAAUACUAGGCGUUAUGGAUCUGCGGUACUCAAGCCUCCUGGUGAAUUUUUGAGACAUUUUGUUGACUUGUGAUUGUAAUGACAGCUCAUUACCCCAAAGUGGUUUCAUGGUACUUUAUUUUGUUACGGUGCUGAAAAUUAAUGGUCUUGACGCAAGCAAAUUGACAUCAAAGUGGAGUCACUUUUCAAACAUUUAAUAU